AUUGAACGCUGGCGGCAUGCUUUACACAUGCAAGUCGAACGGCAGCGCGGUCUUCGGCCUGGCGUCGAGUGGCGAACGGGUGAGUAAUUCAUCGGAACGUGCCCAGUUGUUUGGGAUAGCCCGGCGAAAGCCGGAUUAAUACCCCAUACGACCUGACGGUGUAAGCGUGGGACCGAAAGGCCUCGCGCUAUUGGAGCGUCCGAUGUCGGAUUAGCUAGUUGGUGGGGUAAAGGCGUACCAAGGCGACGAUCCGUAGCUGGUCUGAGAGGACGACCAGCCACACUGGGACUGAGACACGGCCCAGACUCCUACGGGAGGCAGCAGUGGGGAAUUUUGGACAAUGGGGGCAAGCCUGAUCCAGCCAUGCCGCGUGCGGGAAGAAGGCCUUCGGGUUGUAAACCGCUUUUGUUCGGGAAGAAAUCCUCUGGGCUAAUACCCCGGGGGGAUGACGGUACCGGAAGAAUAAGCACCGGCUAACUACGUG
RNAcentral lists this ribosomal RNA (484 nucleotides) under uncultured bacterium. RNAcentral describes it as "partial 16S ribosomal RNA". It matches the Rfam family "Bacterial small subunit ribosomal RNA", at positions 30 to 507 of the family's 1533-position model. The record is from RNAcentral.